RNAcentral lists this transfer RNA (71 nucleotides) under Rasbora sarawakensis. RNAcentral describes it as "tRNA-Thr". It matches the Rfam family "tRNA". From Rfam's summary of the family: Transfer RNA (tRNA) molecules are approximately 80 nucleotides in length. Their secondary structure includes four short double-helical elements and three loops (D, anti-codon, and T loops). The record is from RNAcentral. Lineage: Eukaryota; Metazoa; Chordata; Actinopteri; Cypriniformes; Danionidae.
GCCUUAGUAGCUUAAAUAAAAGCACCGGUCUUGUAAUCCGAAGAUCGGAGGUUAAACCCCUCCCUAAAGCC